This 329-nucleotide ribosomal RNA is filed under the name uncultured bacterium. RNAcentral describes it as "bacterial SSU rRNA". It matches the Rfam family "Bacterial small subunit ribosomal RNA", at positions 29 to 371 of the family's 1533-position model. The record is from RNAcentral.
AAUGAACGUUGGCGGCGUGGAUUAGGCAUGCAAGUCGAGCGAGAAGCUUUCCUUCGGGAAAGUGGAAAGCGGCGAAAGGGAGAGUAACGCGUGGAUAUCUACCCCCGGGUUUGGGAUAGCUGCGGGAAACUGCAGGUAAUACCAGAUAAUGUCUUCGGACCAAAGGUGUGAUUCCGCCCAGGGAUGAGUCCGCGUCCUACUAGCUUGUUGGUGGGGUAAUGGCCUACCAAGGCAAUGAUGGUACCGGGCGUGAGAGCGUGGCCCGGCUCACUGGGACUGAGACACUGCCCAGACGUCUACGGACGGCUGCAGUCGAGAAUCUUCGGCAA